GACGUAGGGGGCCAGCGUUGCUCGGAAUUACUGGGCGUAAAGGGUUCGUAGGCGGUGCGGUAAGUCGAAAGUGAAAUCUCCCGGCUUAACUGGGAGGCUGCUUCCGAAACUGCCGUGCUAGAGUGCGGGAGAGGCGAGUGGAAUUGCAGGUGUAGCGGUGAAAUGCGUAGAUAUCUGCAGGAACACCCGUGGCGAAGGCGGCUCGCUGGACCGCAACUGACGCUGAGGAACGAAAGCUAGGGGAGCAAACAGG
RNAcentral lists this ribosomal RNA (253 nucleotides) under uncultured bacterium. RNAcentral describes it as "partial 16S ribosomal RNA". It matches the Rfam family "Bacterial small subunit ribosomal RNA", at positions 524 to 776 of the family's 1533-position model. The record is from RNAcentral.